RNAcentral lists this ribosomal RNA (482 nucleotides) under uncultured bacterium. Its description in RNAcentral is "partial 16S ribosomal RNA". It matches the Rfam family "Bacterial small subunit ribosomal RNA", at positions 29 to 507 of the family's 1533-position model. The record is from RNAcentral.
AUGAACGCUGGCGGCGUGCCUAACACAUGCAAGUCGAACGGAGUCGUUUUGGAAAUCUCUUCGGAGAUGGAAUUCUCGACUUAGUGGCGGACGGGUGAGUAACGCGUGAGCAAUCUGCCUUUAAGAGGGGGAUAACAGUCGGAAACGGCUGCUAAUACCGCAUAAAGCAUUAAAUUCGCAUGUUUUUGAUGCCAAAGGAGCAAUCCGCUUUUAGAUGAGCUCGCGUCUGAUUAGCUAGUUGGCGGGGUAACGGCCCACCAAGGCGACGAUCAGUAGCCGGACUGAGAGGUUGAACGGCCACAUUGGGACUGAGACACGGCCCAGACUCCUACGGGAGGCAGCAGUGGGGAAUAUUGCGCAAUGGGGGAAACCCUGACGCAGCAACGCCGCGUGAUUGAAGAAGGCCUUCGGGGUGUAAAGAUCUUUAAUCAGGGACGAAACAAAUGACGGUACCUGAAGAAUAAGCUCCGGCUAACUACGUG